GAGGGUAUAGCUCAGUGGUAGAGCAUAUGCUUAGUAUGCACGAGGUCCUGGGUUCAAUCCCCAGUCCCUCCA
Molecule: transfer RNA, 72 nt
Filed under: Camelus bactrianus (Bactrian camel)
Lineage: Eukaryota; Metazoa; Chordata; Mammalia; Artiodactyla; Camelidae
Also listed under: 2 other names
Rfam family: tRNA
About the family: Transfer RNA (tRNA) molecules are approximately 80 nucleotides in length.
Source: Rfam by way of RNAcentral